RNAcentral lists this long non-coding RNA (176 nucleotides) under Gopherus agassizii (Agassiz's desert tortoise). RNAcentral's name for it is "lncRNA (ENSGAGG00000010440.1)". Lineage: Eukaryota; Metazoa; Chordata; Testudines; Testudinidae. The record is from RNAcentral.
AACUGAUUUUAUGUUAAAAACAGACUUUUCUACUUUAUUAAAGGAAGUGUGACAUAGUGUGAAUCUGUGUCUAGCUAUCUAUGGAAAUUUCACUAAUAGAAAUUUUAAAAAAUGAAAGAAGUUCGACUGGUCUUCUGUACGGAGGAAUUGACAAGGUAAUAAUGGCAGUUGUGUAG